UACGGAGGGCGCAAGCAUUAAUCGGAUUUACUGGGUGUAAAGAGUGCGUAGGCGGACUGGCAAGUCAGAUGUGAAAUUCCGUUGCUUAACAUCGGAGCUGCAUUUGAUACUACCUGUCUUGAGGAUAGAUGGAGAAAACGGAAUUCCACGUGUAGCGGUGAAAUGCGUAGAUAUGUGGAAGAACACCUGUGGCGUAAGCGGUUUUCCAAUUUAUUCCUGACGCUGAGGUACGAGAGCAAGGGGAGCAAACAGG
RNAcentral lists this ribosomal RNA (253 nucleotides) under uncultured bacterium. RNAcentral describes it as "partial 16S ribosomal RNA". It matches the Rfam family "Bacterial small subunit ribosomal RNA", at positions 524 to 776 of the family's 1533-position model. The record is from RNAcentral.